AGCGGAGGAAAAGAAACCAACCGGGAUUGCCUCAGUAACGGCGAGUGAAGCGGCAACAGCUCAAAUUUGAAAGCCCGCGGGCGUUGUAAUUUGCAGGCGGAUGUUUUGGGGCGGGCGCUGUCUACGUUCCUUGGAACAGGACGCCGCAGAGGGUGAGAGCCCCGUGCGAUGGCGCCUCUAACCGCGUAAAACUCCGCCGACGAGUCGAGUUGUUUGGGAAUGCAGCUCCAAGUGGGUGGUAAAUUCCAUCUAAAGCUAAAUACUGGCGAGAGACCGAUAGCGAACAAGUACAGUGAUGGAAAGAUGAAAAGCACUUUGAAAAGAGAGUGAAACAGCACGUGAAAUUGUUGAAAGGGAAGGGUAUGCGAUUAGCGGCCAGCAGGAGGUGCCUUCUCGUGAAAAGGCCGUGCACCGUCUUCGGACACCGUGCGCGGAGAUGGCGAGGGGGCGCCUGAGGUCUGCGAACUCGAGGUGC
Molecule: ribosomal RNA, 475 nt
Filed under: Diutina rugosa
Lineage: Eukaryota; Fungi; Ascomycota; Pichiomycetes; Serinales; Debaryomycetaceae
Description: eukaryotic LSU rRNA
Rfam family: Eukaryotic large subunit ribosomal RNA
Source: RNAcentral